RNAcentral lists this ribosomal RNA (292 nucleotides) under uncultured bacterium. RNAcentral's name for it is "partial 16S ribosomal RNA". It matches the Rfam family "Bacterial small subunit ribosomal RNA", at positions 505 to 796 of the family's 1533-position model. The record is from RNAcentral.
GUGUCAGCCGCCGCGGUAACACGUAGGGUGCGAGCGUUGUCCGGAAUUAUUGGGCGUAAAGAGCUCGUAGGCGGUCCGUCACGUCGGAUGUGAAAUUCCAGGGCUCAACCCUGGACCUGCAUUCGAUACGGGCGGACUAGAGUUCGGUAGGGGAGACUGGAAUUCCUGGUGUAGCGGUGAAAUGCGCAGAUAUCAGGAGGAACACCGGUGGCGAAGGCGGGUCUCUGGGCCGAUACUGACGCUGAGGAGCGAAAGCGUGGGGAGCGAACAGGAUUAGAUACCCCCGUAGUCC